UGAACAAUUCAAGAAACUGGCCCAAAUUUUUAGUACCAAAGUAUUGUGAAAUUCUAAUGCUUUCACUUUUUCUUUCCUAUAAUGUUUAUUCUUCAAAAUACAAUGGAGGAAGAAUGAGGAUUUGCUCUGAAUCUGGAUGAUAUAAGAAGACAGAGCACCAGGAUAAAAGUCAGGAAAUAUGGAUGCCAGUCUCCAUUCCAAGGUCCUCCUGGGGAAACAGCAGGUCCAUAUUUCUGACUGUGCAGGAAUUGGAGGCCCACACCAAGCAGUGUGACAUACUUGAAUGACAAAAUAAUGGAGUGAUCCCAGGGACUCAGGAGUCAUGGCAGAGGAAUUUAUUGCUUAGCAACCCAGACAAAUGUCAAGAGUCUUACCAAAUGCAGAUGAUGCUCUGUGGAAGAGACCUGCUUCAAGUCAGGUCAAGUAAAAACAACCUUGCCAGCAAGAUCCAUCAGUGAGGUCACUGAGAGAAGAGGAAACAUACACAAAGCUGCAUGAAAAAGAUAAUUCACCUUAUCAGUGCAACAGAAGUUUCAUAACAACGUAACUCCAGCAGGACACCUCCAUAUGAAUGGCUUUCCAUAGCACCAUACUGGGCAGAUUGCCAGCAAGUUCUACCAGCUUAGCACCACAGUGACUUCUCUGUCAUCUGGUGAGCCUAUGAUCGCCAAUAAAGGUCUGGAUCUCAGCCUGGGCUCUCUUCCUUGGAUCUAUGCUGAACCUAACUGGAAACUGGGUGGCAAGAGUUGAUACAGUCCACACAGGUCGGCCUCCUGGGCAGAGAUCAGAGUAGGACAGGAUGAAGAACACAUCUGGAGGGUCAAAGAGAAGCUAUGACACAGGGUAAAUACUUAAAAAGUACAAAUAAUGAAUGAUAUUGGGUUACAAAGGAAAUGAUGAGGACAGAGAAUAAGAAACACUAUAUUGUUGUGCAUAGUAGCAAACUAAGAAAUUAAUAUCCAAUGUAGUAGAAUGUGAGAAAUAUUAUGUAAAUUUAUGAAGAUGACGAC
This 1010-nucleotide long non-coding RNA is filed under the name Homo sapiens (human). RNAcentral's name for it is "HSALNT0108801". The record is from RNAcentral. Lineage: Eukaryota; Metazoa; Chordata; Mammalia; Primates; Hominidae.